This 72-nucleotide transfer RNA is filed under the name Camelus bactrianus (Bactrian camel). It matches the Rfam family "tRNA". From Rfam's summary of the family: Transfer RNA (tRNA) molecules are approximately 80 nucleotides in length. Their secondary structure includes four short double-helical elements and three loops (D, anti-codon, and T loops). Lineage: Eukaryota; Metazoa; Chordata; Mammalia; Artiodactyla; Camelidae. The record is from Rfam by way of RNAcentral. RNAcentral also lists the same sequence under 2 other names.
GAGGGUAUAGCUUAGUGGUAGAGUGCAUGCUUAGCAUGCAUGAGGUCCUGGGUUCAAUCCCUGGUAUCUCCA